RNAcentral lists this transfer RNA (65 nucleotides) under Dipodomys ordii (Ord's kangaroo rat). It matches the Rfam family "tRNA". Rfam says of the family: Transfer RNA (tRNA) molecules are approximately 80 nucleotides in length. Their secondary structure includes four short double-helical elements and three loops (D, anti-codon, and T loops). The record is from Rfam by way of RNAcentral. Lineage: Eukaryota; Metazoa; Chordata; Mammalia; Rodentia; Heteromyidae.
GGUGGCUCAGUGGUUGAGUGCUUGCCUCCCAUGCAUGAGACCCUGGGUUCGAUUCCUUAGCACCA